GUUCCAGCAGGAGAGGGUGGCUUGCAAGCUGAGCUGGGGAACCUUCUCCCGGUGGCCCCUCCAGGCAGCAUUUAGGGGAAAAUGGACAUGCUGGCUUUAUGUCUUGCUGCCUGGGUGAUCCCAGGCAAAUGACCCGAGUUCUGUUCCCUCCUAAUUUUUAAUGCAUUUACUUCCUAAGGCAGCGGUGAAGAGGUACGGGGGAUGGGUGUUCAGCGCGGAAGCUGGCCCAUGGCAGGCACCCAAUCAGCUAGUCACCCAUUCGGUUACCGACAUGCUCCUGCUGCGGACGCAGCUUUGGAAAACCACAGUAUCAUCCCUCCUCGGAGUCUAAGCGCACGCAAAGCACACAGUAGGCCUUCAGCGAACACACGACUGACUAAACGCGCCGUGGAGAACAAGCUGCUUUGGCACCUGGUAUCUGGAGGCUUUCUCUGCUGGUAAAAUAAAGAGAUGGAUACUAAGAAGACAGAACGACUUAGGAGAUCCCAGAAAAAAAAUGUAGAGUCAUCUAAACUUCACUAGCUCAAUAAUGGAAGUGUACAGAAUGAGACUCAAAAGGAAAGGAAGAUAAGAGAAAGGAAGGAGGGAGAAGGAAGGGGGCCCAGAUGAGCAGCGAAAUAAAAAUUCAAAUAUGAUUUUAUUGUUUCUUCCAGUAAGUGGCUGGGAAUAAUAGAACAGAGCAAAACUGGAAGAGGGGAGUAAAAGUAACUCAGCAAAAUAAGAGUUGUUGGUUUUGUUCUGCUUUGUUUUUUUGUUUUUAAUGGCAGUGUCUUAGAUGAGGUCAGGGAAGGAGCUGAUGGACGUAUAGACAUGAGGUGUCUUGCACACGGAGACGCGGGGCCAGAUGCAUUGCGACGCCAGCCUCCGCUUCAGCAACUUUGAGAGAUUUCGUAUAAUUUUGAGAGGUUUUGUAUAAUUUUGUCCAGAGGUCUGGACAAACAACCAAACAAGAACAAACAACCAAAUAAGAAUCAGGGAACAGCAUCGCCCCCUCCCCACCAGGGGAGGAAAAAUCUGGAUGUGCAGCGUCCUCACUCACGCGUCCGGACAAAAUGACUUCAACGUCAGACUCCAUCGUCACACUUCCAAAAGCGAAAAAGUGAGGAAGGCUGCAUCCUAAAACCUCUUACAACCUGUCUUCAAGCCCAGAAUUGUUUACGGCAAGUGUCUC
This 1171-nucleotide long non-coding RNA is filed under the name Canis lupus familiaris (dog). RNAcentral describes it as "lncRNA (ENSCAFG00845003150.1)". The record is from RNAcentral. Lineage: Eukaryota; Metazoa; Chordata; Mammalia; Carnivora; Canidae.